AGGCUGAGGCAGGAGAAUCACUUGAAUCCAGGAGGCGGAGGUUGCAGUGAGCUGAGAUCAUACCACCGCACUCCAGCCUGGGCGACUGAGUGAGACUCUAUCUCAAAAAAAAAAAAAAAAAAAAAAAAAAGCAAAAAGGAUCUUUGCUCUACUUCUGAGAUUCUGACAUUUAUAGGUUUUCUUGAUAGUCCUACUAAAAUGGCCAAAAAAACACAAAAAAACAACAAAAGGGGGGAAAGAGAGAGAGAGAGAGAGAGACUUGGGCAAGGGGUCUAUUCAAAGGGGCUUCUCAAGUUGCAGGCUGUGUGGGAGGGCUGGU
RNAcentral lists this long non-coding RNA (319 nucleotides) under Homo sapiens (human). RNAcentral describes it as "HSALNT0335975". Lineage: Eukaryota; Metazoa; Chordata; Mammalia; Primates; Hominidae. The record is from RNAcentral.